RNAcentral lists this small nuclear RNA (289 nucleotides) under Carlito syrichta (Philippine tarsier). RNAcentral describes it as "7SK RNA (ENSTSYG00000032345.1)". It matches the Rfam family "7SK RNA". Rfam says of the family: 7SK was discovered as an abundant small nuclear RNA in the mid-70s but a possible function has only recently been suggested. Two independent studies have found that 7SK RNA binds the CDK9/cyclin T complex (known as elongation factor P-TEFb). P-TEFb activates transcription by phosphorylating the C-terminal domain of RNA polymerase II. The record is from Rfam by way of RNAcentral. Lineage: Eukaryota; Metazoa; Chordata; Mammalia; Primates; Tarsiidae.
GGAUGUGAGGGUGAUCUGGCUGCAACAUCUGUCACCCCAUUGAUUACCAAGGUUGAUUCAGCUGAUCUGGCUGGCUAGGUGGGUGUCCCCUUCCUCCCUCACCACUCCAUGUGUGUCCCUCCCAAAGCUGUGCGCUCGGACAAAAAGGACAACCAUUCCCGCUAGAGGAGGACCAUUUUUCUGUCAAGGGUAUAUGAGUAGCUGUGUUCCUUUGCUAGAACCUCCAAACAAGGAAGGAUCGCCUGAGCCCAGCAGGUUGACUCUGGGGUGGCCGUGAGUGCCACUGCAC